Molecule: ribosomal RNA, 184 nt
Filed under: Cladosporium sp.
Lineage: Eukaryota; Fungi; Ascomycota; Dothideomycetes; Cladosporiales; Cladosporiaceae
Description: 5.8S ribosomal RNA
Source: RNAcentral
CCCGGUCUAACCACCGGGAUGUUCAUAACCCUUUGUUGUCCGACUCUGUUGCCUCCGGGGCGACCCUGCCUUCGGGCGGGGGCUCCGGGUGGACACUUCAAACUCUUGCGUAACUUUGCAGUCUGAGUAAACUUAAUUAAUAAAUUAAAACUUUUAACAACGGAUCUCUUGGUUCUGGCAUCGA